CCUACGGGUGACAGCAGUGAGGAAUAUUGGUCAAUGGACGAGAGUCUGAACCAGCCAAGUAGCGUGAAGGAUGACUGCCCUAUGGGUUGUAAACUUCUUUUAUAAAGGAAUAAAACGAGGCACGUGUGCCUUUUUGCAUGUACUUUAUGAAUAAGGAUCGGCUAACUCCGUGCCAGCAGCCGCGGUAAUACGGAGGAUCCGAGCGUUAUCCGGAUUUAUUGGGUUUAAAGGGAGCGUAGAUGGGUUGUUAAGUCAGUUGUGAAAUUUUGCGGCUCAACCAUAAAAUUGCAAUUGAUACUGGCAGUCUUGAGUACAGUGGAGGUAGGCGGAAUUCGUGGUGUAGCGGUGAAAUGCUUAGAUAUCACGAAGAACCCCGAUUGCGAAGGCAGCUUACUAAACUGUGACUGACAUUGAUGCUCGAAAGUGUGGGUAUCAAACAGGAUUAGAUACCCCAGUAGUC
This 460-nucleotide ribosomal RNA is filed under the name uncultured bacterium. RNAcentral describes it as "partial 16S ribosomal RNA". It matches the Rfam family "Bacterial small subunit ribosomal RNA", at positions 338 to 795 of the family's 1533-position model. The record is from RNAcentral.